UACGUAGGGUGCAAGCGUUAAUCGGAAUUACUGGGCGUAAAGCGUGCGCAGGCGGUUUGCUAAGACCGAUGUGAAAUCCCCGGGCUCAACCUGGGAACUGCAUUGGUGACUGGCAGGCUAGAGUAUGGCAGAGGGGGGUAGAAUUCCACGUGUAGCAGUGAAAUGCGUAGAGAUGUGGAGGAAUACCGAUGGCGAAGGCAGCCCCCUGGGCCAAUACUGACGCUCAUGCACGAAAGCGUGGGGAGCAAACAGG
This 253-nucleotide ribosomal RNA is filed under the name uncultured bacterium. Its description in RNAcentral is "partial 16S ribosomal RNA". It matches the Rfam family "Bacterial small subunit ribosomal RNA", at positions 524 to 776 of the family's 1533-position model. RNAcentral also lists the same sequence under 2 other names. The record is from RNAcentral.